This 23-nucleotide non-coding RNA is filed under the name Mus musculus (house mouse). The record is from RNAcentral. RNAcentral also lists the same sequence under 1 other name. Lineage: Eukaryota; Metazoa; Chordata; Mammalia; Rodentia; Muridae.
UGAUUCAAUUUUAAGAAGGUGUC